GUCUACAGCCAUGCCACCCUGAACAUGACUGAUCUCGUCUGAUUCAGAAGCUAAGCAGGGUCGGACCUGGUUAGUAC
Molecule: ribosomal RNA, 77 nt
Filed under: Pteropus alecto (black flying fox)
Lineage: Eukaryota; Metazoa; Chordata; Mammalia; Chiroptera; Pteropodidae
Source: RNAcentral